UGGGGAAUCUUGGACAAUGGGGGAAACCCUGAUCCAGCCAUGCCGCGUGAGUGAUGAAGGCCUUAGGGUUGUAAAGCUCUUUUGGCGGGGACGAUAAUGACUGUACCCGCAGAAUAAGCCCCGGCUAACUUCGUGCCAGCAGCCGCGGUAAUACGAAGGGGGCUAGCGUUGUUCGGAAUUACUGGGCGUAAAGCGUGCGCAGGCGGCUAUUCAAGUCAGGGGUGAAAGCCCAGAGCUCAACUCUGGAAUU
RNAcentral lists this ribosomal RNA (250 nucleotides) under uncultured bacterium. RNAcentral describes it as "partial 16S ribosomal RNA". It matches the Rfam family "Bacterial small subunit ribosomal RNA", at positions 355 to 622 of the family's 1533-position model. The record is from RNAcentral.